This 254-nucleotide ribosomal RNA is filed under the name uncultured bacterium. RNAcentral's name for it is "partial 16S ribosomal RNA". It matches the Rfam family "Bacterial small subunit ribosomal RNA", at positions 524 to 776 of the family's 1533-position model. The record is from RNAcentral.
UACGGGGGGAGCAAGCGUUGUUCGGAUUUACUGGGCGUAAAGGGCGCGUAGGCGGUCAGCACAAGUCAGUUGUGAAAUCUCCGGGCUUAACUCGGAAAGGUCAACUGAUACUGUGCGACUAGAGUGCGGAAGGGGCAACUGGAAUUCUCGGUGUAGCGGUGAAAUGCGUAGAUAUCAAGAGGAACACCUGCGGCGAAGGCGGGUUGCUGGGCUGACACUGACGCUGAGGCGCGAAAGCUAGGGGAGCGAACGGG